RNAcentral lists this ribosomal RNA (494 nucleotides) under uncultured bacterium. RNAcentral's name for it is "partial 16S ribosomal RNA". It matches the Rfam family "Bacterial small subunit ribosomal RNA", at positions 28 to 507 of the family's 1533-position model. The record is from RNAcentral.
GACGAACGCUGGCGGCGUGCUUAACACAUGCAAGUCGAACGGAAAGGCCUGCUUUCCCUUGUGGAUUGCGGGUACUCGAGUGGCGAACGGGUGAGUAACACGUGAGUGAUCUGCCCCCAACUUGGGUAUAAGCCUGGGAAACUGGGUCUAAUUCCCGAUAGGACUGCAGGGUGGUGCCUGUGGUGGAAAACGAUUUUCUAGUGGUUGGGGAUGAGCUCGCGGCCUAUCAGCUUGUUGGUGGGGUAAUGUCCUACCAAGGCGGCGACGGGUAGCCGGCCUGAGAGGGUGGACGGCCGCAUUGGGACUGGGAUACGGCCCCGACUGCUACGGGAGGCAGCAGUGGGGAAUAUUGCACAGUGGGCGGAAGCCUGAUGCAGCGACGCAGCGUGGGGGAUGACGGCCUUCGGGUUGUAAACUCCUUUCGACCGAGAGGAAGCCACCUGGUUGGAAGGGUGGUGACGGUAGUGGUAGAAGAAGCACCGGCUAACUACGUG